RNAcentral lists this long non-coding RNA (2110 nucleotides) under Fukomys damarensis (Damara mole-rat). Its description in RNAcentral is "lncRNA (ENSFDAG00000026612.1)". Lineage: Eukaryota; Metazoa; Chordata; Mammalia; Rodentia; Bathyergidae. The record is from RNAcentral.
CCCGCAGUUUCCUCUGGCGCGCAUGCGUGCGUGCCCGGACCCAGCCUCAAGCUCCAAAGGCUCUCAAGAGAUGCGCAUGCGCUCGCUCUGGGCUCCCUGGCCUCUGCUGAGAGCCUCGCGCUCUAACUGCUCCUGGAGUCCACGGGGCACUGCUCAGAAGAUGCACUUGCGCACGUCAGCUCUCUGCGCCAGCCUCGCGCUCCAACAGCCGCUGAGCACCUACUCGGGUGAUGCACAUGCGCGAGCGCAGAGGCCUAGCCGACAGUUGAGGCCGACCUGGACGUUGCAGAGUUCGCUGCUUAAAUCAAAGCUGAGUCCUGUUCUACCUGCUUUCACCUUGGUGGAGUCCCAGCUGUGCAUAAUAACAAGUGGAAGAGGCCCUCGGGAUGGAGAAGAGCAACAGGACGUGGAUGGAGAAGAAAACAAAAGAGGAUGUGGCGACUGGAGAAGGAGCAGGUGGCAGGAGCUGCCACAGAAACUGUGUGCUUCCCUGAAGACAGGAAGAAGGCCCUGCUGGGAAGAUGGAGACAAAGACUUCAUACCUUGUGAAAUCACUGAGCUCAGCUUAGACCUCUGGGUUCCAGACCCCAUCCUCCAUCCUUAAAGCUAUUGCCUGCAGCUGAGUGCAGGGUAGACUGCUGUGAGACCAGCAGGAUGAAAGCCAGGGCUGGGUCAAAACACGUGGUCUUGGACUGGCCCAGUUGGAUUGAGAAGAGAGCUGAAUGACCAAGGAAAGAUUUGUGAUCGCAACAUUUUAAAGAAAUCAUGGCCGUCAUAAUGCAUAAGACAGACAACAGGGGAAAUAGAAUAAAGAAAAUUGUUAGAUAGAAAAUAGCUGAGUGCAUGAAUGGAUGAGGAUCCAGAGGUGAAAAUUAAAAACAAUAAGGAAGUCUAAGAAUGUUUUAUGGAGUGGCCACCAAACUUGGUAGCACUGGGUGCAAAUGAGAAAGUUUCAUUACAAGGCCUCAAGUCUUUGGAGUCUGCAUUACCAGGACAAUGCUAACACCACAGAGUCAGUAAAGGGGGCACAAUAGAGCUGUCCCCAGGCCAGCACAAAAACGUACCACUUGGCUUGGCUCUUUGUGCAGGCUCACAGAAGUCAAUUCGAUGUCAUACAUGAUGAUCUCAGCCAACAUCAGGGUUGCAUCAGGAGGCUGAAGUAGGAGAAUUGAGAGCCCGAGAACAGUCUGAGCAAUUUAGCAUGACCUUGUCUCAAAAACAAGAGAAAAACAUUUCCAAAGGACUGGAAGUGUAACAUGUACAGCACUUAGCCAGCAUGGAGCCCAUGUCCCUCUGUUCCAAAGGAAAAUAAAAACUGUAUGACUUGCUUGUGAUCAGAAAAAGGAAUAUUUUUGUGAUUUAAGAAAAUAUUUUUGUGAUUUUUUUGAAGUAAGAGGAAGAAGCUAAUUAAUUGAGCAUCAGUUCCCUGGAUUCCCACAUCACCUCAUUUUUUAAUAAUAGCCAUGCUUAAUUAUUAUUUUCACAAUUUAAUUAUGAAGAAAUUGAGGCCAAAAGAUCAAAAUGUACUUGCGGCCACAGAGCUGUAAGUGAUGGAGCUGAUAACACCACAAACACAUUUACUAUGAGGACAAACAAGUGGGGAAAUGAUGUUUUUAAGAGAUCUAAACUCUUUUUGUAAUCUGGCCUCAAAUCUUUACCUACUACUUAAAUGGUCUUCAGAGCUCCUAAAUUAGUCAGCGACUCAUUUUACUCCCGUAUUUAUAAAUAGAACUGACCAGUUUUACCAGGAUGGAAUACAAAACAGAACAGAUAAUCUCUAUAGGGAUAAAGUUAUUUUUUGAAUAACCUUUACUGAAGAAACUAGAUCAAAAGUUUUCAUGACAUUUCAGAGAAGAAUUUAUUUUGAAACAGCAGGAUUGUGCAGCACACGGGGCAGUAGGCUGGGUUAGUCAAGAAUGGAGCAUCAAUGUGUUUAUCUCCCAGACUGGAUGUGAACCAGCCCACCAGAGGGUCCAGCUGGUGGAGCUGGUAACCAGGCCCUGGUUUACUGUGAACUUUCUCAAAGGAGAAUGCAACCACCAGAGUAAUCUUUGGUCCACACUCCAAGCACCAGCCACACAGCCAAAGAUUACCAGUGAGACAUGUCCAG